Molecule: ribosomal RNA, 2718 nt
Filed under: Escherichia coli
Lineage: Bacteria; Pseudomonadati; Pseudomonadota; Gammaproteobacteria; Enterobacterales; Enterobacteriaceae
Description: bacterial LSU rRNA
Source: RNAcentral
AGCGUACACGGUGGAUGCCCUGGCAGUCAGAGGCGAUGAAGGACGUGGUGUUUCGACACACUAUCAUUAACUGAAUCCAUAGGUUAAUGAGGCGAACCGGGGGAACUGAAACAUCUAAGUACCCCGAGGAAAAGAAAUCAACCGAGAUUCCCCCAGUAGCGGCGAGCGAACGGGGAGCAGCCCAGAGCCUGAAUCAGUGUGUGUGUUAGUGGAAGCGUCUGGAAAGGCGCGCGAUACAGGGUGACAGCCCCGUACACAAAAAUGCACAUGCUGUGAGCUCGAUGAGUAGGGCGGGACACGUGGUAUCCUGUCUGAAUAUGGGGGGACCAUCCUCCAAGGCUAAAUACUCCUGACUGACCGAUAGUGAACCAGUACCGUGAGGGAAAGGCGAAAAGAACCCCGGCGAGGGGAGUGAAAAAGAACCUGAAACCGUGUACGUACAAGCAGUGGGAGCACAGAGCAAUCUGUGUGACUGCGUACCUUUUGUAUAAUGGGUCAGCGACUUAUAUUCUGUAGCAAGGUUAACCGAAUAGGGGAGCCGAAGGGAAACCGAGUCUUAACUGGGCGUUAAGUUGCAGGGUAUAGACCCGAAACCCGGUGAUCUAGCCAUGGGCAGGUUGAAGGUUGGGUAACACUAACUGGAGGACCGAACCGACUAAUGUUGAAAAAUUAGCGGAUGACUUGUGGCUGGGGGUGAAAGGCCAAUCAAACCGGGAGAUAGCUGGUUCUCCCCGAAAGCUAUUUAGGUAGCGCCUCGUGAAUUCAUCUCCGGGGGUAGAGCACUGUUUCGGCAAGGGGGUCAUCCCGACUUACCAACCCGAUGCAAACUGCGAAUACCGGAGAAUGUUAUCACGGGAGACACACGGCGGGUGCUAACGUCCGUCGUGAAGAGGGAAACAACCCAGACCGCCAGCUAAGGUCCCAAAGUCAUGGUUAAGUGGGAAACGAUGUGGGAAGGCCCAGACAGCCAGGAUGUUGGCUUAGAAGCAGCCAUCAUUUAAAGAAAGCGUAAUAGCUCACUGGUCGAGUCGGCCUGCGCGGAAGAUGUAACGGGGCUAAACCAUGCACCGAAGCUGCGGCAGCGACGCUUAUGCGUUGUUGGGUAGGGGAGCGUUCUGUAAGCCUGUGAAGGUGUGCUGUGAGGCAUGCUGGAGGUAUCAGAAGUGCGAAUGCUGACAUAAGUAACGAUAAAGCGGGUGAAAAGCCCGCUCGCCGGAAGACCAAGGGUUCCUGUCCAACGUUAAUCGGGGCAGGGUGAGUCGACCCCUAAGGCGAGGCCGAAAGGCGUAGUCGAUGGGAAACAGGUUAAUAUUCCUGUACUUGGUGUUACUGCGAAGGGGGGACGGAGAAGGCUAUGUUGGCCGGGCGACGGUUGUCCCGGUUUAAGCGUGUAGGCUGGUUUUCCAGGCAAAUCCGGAAAAUCAAGGCUGAGGCGUGAUGACGAGGCACUACGGUGCUGAAGCAACAAAUGCCCUGCUUCCAGGAAAAGCCUCUAAGCAUCAGGUAACAUCAAAUCGUACCCCAAACCGACACAGGUGGUCAGGUAGAGAAUACCAAGGCGCUUGAGAGAACUCGGGUGAAGGAACUAGGCAAAAUGGUGCCGUAACUUCGGGAGAAGGCACGCUGAUAUGUAGGUGARGUCCCUCGCGGAUGGAGCUGAAAUCAGUCGAAGAUACCAGCUGGCUGCAACUGUUUAUUAAAAACACAGCACUGUGCAAACACGAAAGUGGACGUAUACGGUGUGACGCCUGCCCGGUGCCGGAAGGUUAAUUGAUGGGGUUAGCGGUAACGCGAAGCUCUUGAUCGAAGCCCCGGUAAACGGCGGCCGUAACUAUAACGGUCCUAAGGUAGCGAAAUUCCUUGUCGGGUAAGUUCCGACCUGCACGAAUGGCGUAAUGAUGGCCAGGCUGUCUCCACCCGAGACUCAGUGAAAUUGAACUCGCUGUGAAGAUGCAGUGUACCCGCGGCAAGACGGAAAGACCCCGUGAACCUUUACUAUAGCUUGACACUGAACAUUGAGCCUUGAUGUGUAGGAUAGGUGGGAGGCUUUGAAGUGUGGACGCCAGUCUGCAUGGAGCCGACCUUGAAAUACCACCCUUUAAUGUUUGAUGUUCUAACGUUGACCCGUAAUCCGGGUUGCGGACAGUGUCUGGUGGGUAGUUUGACUGGGGCGGUCUCCUCCUAAAGAGUAACGGAGGAGCACGAAGGUUGGCUAAUCCUGGUCGGACAUCAGGAGGUUAGUGCAAUGGCAUAAGCCAGCUUGACUGCGAGCGUGACGGCGCGAGCAGGUGCGAAAGCAGGUCAUAGUGAUCCGGUGGUUCUGAAUGGAAGGGCCAUCGCUCAACGGAUAAAAGGUACUCCGGGGAUAACAGGCUGAUACCGCCCAAGAGUUCAUAUCGACGGCGGUGUUUGGCACCUCGAUGUCGGCUCAUCACAUCCUGGGGCUGAAGUAGGUCCCAAGGGUAUGGCUGUUCGCCAUUUAAAGUGGUACGCGAGCUGGGUUUAGAACGUCGUGAGACAGUUCGGUCCCUAUCUGCCGUGGGCGCUGGAGAACUGAGGGGGGCUGCUCCUAGUACGAGAGGACCGGAGUGGACGCAUCACUGGUGUUCGGGUUGUCAUGCCAAUGGCACUGCCCGGUAGCUAAAUGCGGAAGAGAUAAGUGCUGAAAGCAUCUAAGCACGAAACUUGCCCCGAGAUGAGUUCUCCCUGACUCCUUGA